CUAUCCGUCGCGGGCGCAGGAAAUUUGAGAGGAGCUGUCCUUAGUACGAGAGGACCGGGAUGGACGUUCCGCUGGUGUACCAGUUGUGCCGCCAGGCGCAUCGCUGGGUAGCUAUGAACGGCAGGGAUAAACGCUGAAAGCAUCUAAGUGUGAAGCCCCCCUCGAGAUGAGAUUUCCCAUUCCUAUAUGGAAGUAAGACCCCUGAGAGAUGAUCAGGUAGAUAGGCUGGAAGUGGAAGUGCAGCGAUGCAUGGAGCGGACCAGUACUAAUCGGUCGAGGACUUAACCAAG
RNAcentral lists this ribosomal RNA (290 nucleotides) under Lacticaseibacillus paracasei. RNAcentral's name for it is "Lactobacillus paracasei partial 23S ribosomal RNA". It matches the Rfam family "Bacterial large subunit ribosomal RNA", at positions 2638 to 2925 of the family's 2925-position model. The record is from RNAcentral. Lineage: Bacteria; Bacillati; Bacillota; Bacilli; Lactobacillales; Lactobacillaceae.